This 502-nucleotide long non-coding RNA is filed under the name Setaria viridis. RNAcentral describes it as "long non-coding RNA (SVIR_LNC011252)". The record is from RNAcentral. Lineage: Eukaryota; Viridiplantae; Streptophyta; Magnoliopsida; Poales; Poaceae.
UGGCAGCAUGGGAGAGGCAGAGGUUACGACAGGGGGCGAUGGUGUGGGAGAGGCAAGAGUUCCACCGAGAGCAAGCGGAUAAGAAAGAGGGGUGGGAAGGAAAAAGACGGGAAAACGGACAGGGAAGGAGAGAAAGGAAAAAGGAAAUAAAAAGAAAAAUACAAUGGUAUCUAGGUAUUUGACAGUUUUCUAUAUAUUGCAAAAUUAGGAGAAGUGAUUUUAUCAAAUAUUUUUCUAGUUAGACAAUCUAGAGUCAAAUAAAACUACUCCACCAGAGAAGUGAGCGUCGAAACCAUUUUCACGUGAAGCAGAUUCAUACCAAACAGUGCUUAAAAACAAGACCCUACAAACUCCUGGUACUACCUCCAUAGUCUGUAGGAUAUUUUUUUGUUGUGGAUGACUAUAUUUUAAGAUAGUGUUUGGUUGGACAUUUUGUAUCGUAAUCAGAUUACACCAGUAACCAAAUUCCAGUUAAAUGUGUUUGGUUCGAUACACUCCAUGA